UACGAGUGCCUCAAGCGUUAUCCGGAAUCAUUGGGCGUAAAGGGUGUGUAGGCGGCUUUGUUAGUCUUCUGUCAAAUUCUUCGGCUUAACCGGGGGUCCGCAGGAGAAACGGCAAAGCUUGAGGAUGCGAGAGGUCUGUGGAACUCUAGGUGUAGGGGUGAAAUCCGUUGAUAUCUAGGGGAACACCAAAAGCGAAGGCAGCAGACUGGCGCACUCCUGACGCUGAAACACGAAAGCGUGGGUAGCGAAUGGG
This 253-nucleotide ribosomal RNA is filed under the name uncultured bacterium. Its description in RNAcentral is "partial 16S ribosomal RNA". It matches the Rfam family "Bacterial small subunit ribosomal RNA", at positions 524 to 776 of the family's 1533-position model. The record is from RNAcentral.